This 606-nucleotide long non-coding RNA is filed under the name Hordeum vulgare. RNAcentral describes it as "long non-coding RNA (HVUL_LNC016710)". Lineage: Eukaryota; Viridiplantae; Streptophyta; Magnoliopsida; Poales; Poaceae. The record is from RNAcentral.
AACAAACACACUGCAAAAGAUUAAGUUACAUCAAAUGGAUCUCCAAGAGACCAUUGUAUCGAGAAGAAAAACAAGAGAGAAAUAUAUCUAGCUACUGGCUACAGACCCAUAGGUCUGAUAUGAACUACUCACCCAUCAUCGGAGGAGAACCAAUGAGGAUGAUGAACCCCUCUGUGAUCGUGUUCCACUCCGGGACGGGCUCUAGAUUGGAUUUCGUGGCUUCUGGAACUUGUGGCGGUUGAAACGAUUUUUUGUCGACUCCUCUAGGGUUUAUGGAAUAUUUGGGUAUUUAAAGAGCUCAGAGGUGAUGGAGGAGGUGCCCAAGGCCCCCACUAGCCACCAGGACGAACUAGGGGCCCCGGUCGUGCCCUGGUGCCUAGUGGGCCGCAUAGGCCUCCUCUGGUGAUCAUCCUUGGUCCCCAAGUUUCCUUCUGGUCCAGAAAAAUUCUCCAAAAAGUUCCGUGGCAUUUGGACUUCAUCUGGUAUUGAUUUUCUGUGAAGGAAAAAAUAGCAAAAAACAGCAACUGGCACUGAGCACUAUGUCAAUAGGUUAGUCCCAAAAAAUGAUAUAAAGUUGCUAUAAAAUGGUCAUAAACCAUCCAUGAA